Molecule: ribosomal RNA, 447 nt
Filed under: uncultured bacterium
Lineage: Bacteria
Description: partial 16S ribosomal RNA
Rfam family: Bacterial small subunit ribosomal RNA
Source: RNAcentral
GACCAGACUCCUACGGGAGGCAGCAGUGGGGAAUAUUGCACAAUGGGGGGAACCCUGAUGCAGCGACGCCGCGUGGGUGAAGGAGUACUUCGGUACGUAAAGCCCUAUCAGCAGGAAAGAAAAUGACGGUACCUGACUAAGAAGCCCCGGCUAACUACGUGCCAGCAGCCGCGGUAAUACGUAGGGGGCAAGCGUUAUCCGGAUUUACUGGGUGUAAAGGGAGCGUAGACGGCAGUGCAAGUCUGGAGUGAAAGCCCGGGGCCCAACCCCGGGACUGCUCUGGAAACUGCGGCGCUGGAGUACGGGAGGGGCAGGCGGUAUUCCUGGUGUAGCGGUGAAAUGCGUAGAUAUUAGGAGGAACACCAGUGGCGAAGGCGGCCUGCUGGACGACAACUGACGGUGAGGCGCGAAAGCGUGGGGAGCAAACAGGAUUAGAUACCCUCGUAA